This is a long non-coding RNA of Lampris incognitus (smalleye Pacific opah), 166 nucleotides long. RefSeq lists it as uncharacterized. The transcript has 3 exons. The record is from RefSeq and is a predicted model, not a curated record. NCBI's taxonomy places the organism in Eukaryota, Metazoa, Chordata, Actinopteri, Lampriformes, Lampridae.
AGAAGCUUCCUGUGACGGCAAACCCAGUUCAUCCACAGGUAAGACCUCCUCCCUGAGCCAGCCCAAGAGGAAUGUCCUAACCAAAAGUGAGGCCUUACCGUUGGCAAAGAGGAAGAAGAUGGAUACGACGGUGUCAUUCGGCUCUGCUCGGGUCUCAACAACCUCA